This is a long non-coding RNA of Esox lucius (northern pike), 1603 nucleotides long. The record is from Ensembl. NCBI's taxonomy places the organism in Eukaryota, Metazoa, Chordata, Actinopteri, Esociformes, Esocidae.
CACUAUAGCUGUAAAAGAACAGCACAUUCCCUGUUUAUGUAAUAAUCAAUGCCCUCCUCUCUGUCUCUGUCAGAGAGCUGCAGUAGCUAUGUUUCUAGCCAUGGGAAAACACAGUAGAGGCAGCUCACACUUCCUGUUUUUGAAUAGGGCCUCUCAGAGGCAGGAAGUACAGGGAACAGCUGGACUGUGGUCUCUCUGUGUUGAGGACUUCUACUAACUAUUGGGUAAUUUUAGGUACACCAAAGUUUUCUGUGGUUUCAGACAAAAACACAUGCUAACAUUUAAGGUCAUUGUUCCUUUAAAAAUAAUGUGAUUAAUACAUUUCCUCACAAUGUUGUUGCCCAUUCAUUGAACAACACCAUUUAGAUGCGCCAAAUGAAUCACUAAUUAUCUAAUUAUGUUCUUCAUGAGCAUUGUCCCUGUUCCUGAUACGUUGGCCACUGGAAACAAUGCUUAAUUAAGGUUUUUGUUUAUUUUUUAAAAAUCAGAUUUUCAAGUUGGAAACACCAGCAACAUAUUCCUGGCUUUUUGAUUUUUUUUAUUGCACUGCAGCACAUUACAUUUUUCACUGUUUUAAAACAGAUAUCUCUAAAUGUAAGGGUCUUUACAAGGUGCUUCAGUCGAAGGGACAGCAUUUACCACCGCAAUGUAAGAAUGACCCUGUUGUCUGUGCCCUGCAAACCUUUGUUCUGCCCCCACACUGGCGCCUAGUCCCCGCCCACUGGCCUACUGCUGUGACAGAGCGUGAUCUCUCUAUCCAUCUCGCGCCAAAACAAAGAGGGUAUGCUAGCGUCUUCCUCUCUUCCCCUUCCUCCUAGAUGCUGCGUCUGGCAUGUUGCCAGGGCAACCUGGAGUAGGUGAAGUAGUAGUAGAAAAGCUCCUGGUUGCCCCUACUGCAGUCCCCUCUGCCUGUCUGGCUGUAUGUCUGUCUCCUUUCGUCACCAGCAUUUCCCGCCACUCUGGGGGGAGGAGCCGCCUACGGUCAAGAUAAAGAAGGCUGGUGCCGGCAUCUUUUAAAUCAACAACCUACUGGAGAGGUUGACAGCUCACAGAAGACCACAUCCUGCUGCUGCUCACAUUAUGAACAUGGGAAUGGCACAAGCUGCCUUUUCUGUAGAUGCAAUUUGUAACAUUUCCUAAUUCAACCCUUUUUGGACAUUUAUGUACCCAUGUACAUUUGGUAACCAUCUCUGAUUUUUGAUAAAUGACAUGUAAGUGCAUGUAGUAACCCUUUUUCAAUGUGUAUCUGUAAAGCCCUUUACAGGAUGACUAUAUUAUCUCUUCCAGACAUUAUUAACAGAUUAUACAGCAACUGCAUAUGUUGUGAAAAAACUGUAAACCAGUCAAAUUAAUGGAUAUCAGUAGUUAUUAGUGGUCUUCAAAGCAAAAAGACACCAUCUCGUUUUCCUGGGACGUCUGCAUCGCUGACAUCAUUUCACAGGCUAUAUACCAGAGCCUGGACUCACCGCAACCAAUCAGCCUUUAACGUGGGUAUUCCGUGGUUGCUUAGCAACUGCUGCUGAGCUGUAAUUCUAUCAGAGGAGAGAGCUGCAGGGGUUUGGAUCAGAGACAACAAGAAGUCAUCGUGGAAUACAGAGGGGGC